Molecule: transfer RNA, 82 nt
Filed under: Thecamonas trahens
Lineage: Eukaryota; Apusomonadida; Apusomonadidae
Description: tRNA-Leu
Rfam family: tRNA
About the family: Transfer RNA (tRNA) molecules are approximately 80 nucleotides in length. Their secondary structure includes four short double-helical elements and three loops (D, anti-codon, and T loops).
Source: RNAcentral
GCGGAUAUGGUGGAAUUGGUAGACACGUUGGUCUUAGGAUCCAAUGAAAUUUUUCGUGAGGGUUCAAGUCCCUCUAUCCGUA